This 497-nucleotide ribosomal RNA is filed under the name uncultured bacterium. Its description in RNAcentral is "partial 16S ribosomal RNA". It matches the Rfam family "Bacterial small subunit ribosomal RNA", at positions 28 to 507 of the family's 1533-position model. The record is from RNAcentral.
GACGAACGCUGGCGGCGUGCCUAAUACAUGCAAGUUGAGCGCUGAAGGUUGGUACUUGUACCAACUGGAUGAGCAGCGAACGGGUGAGUAACGCGUGGGGAAUCUGCCUUUGAGCGGGGGACAACAUUUGGAAACGAAUGCUAAUACCGCAUAAAAACUUUAAACACAAGUUUUAAGUUUGAAAGAUGCAAUUGCAUCACUCAAAGAUGAUCCCGCGUUGUAAUAGCUAGUUGGUGAGGUAAAGGCUCACCAAGGCGAUGAUACAUAGCCGACCUGAGAGGGUGAUCGGCCACAUUGGGACUGAGACACGGCCCAAACUCCUACGGGAGGCAGCAGUAGGGAAUCUUCGGCAAUGGACGAAAGUCUGACCGAGCAACGCCGCGUGAGUGAAGAAGGUUUUCGGAUCGUAAAACUCUGUUGGUAGAGAAGAACGUUGGUGAGAGUGGAAAGCUCAUCAAGUGACGGUAACUACCCAGAAAGGGACGGCUAACUACGUG